GGGGAUAUAGCUCAAUUGGUAGAGUACUUGCCUUGCAUGCACAAGGCCCUGGGUUCAAUCCCCAGCACCACCA
This 73-nucleotide transfer RNA is filed under the name Ictidomys tridecemlineatus (thirteen-lined ground squirrel). RNAcentral's name for it is "Spermophilus tridecemlineatus (thirteen-lined ground squirrel) tRNA". It matches the Rfam family "tRNA". From Rfam's summary of the family: Transfer RNA (tRNA) molecules are approximately 80 nucleotides in length. Their secondary structure includes four short double-helical elements and three loops (D, anti-codon, and T loops). The record is from Rfam by way of RNAcentral. Lineage: Eukaryota; Metazoa; Chordata; Mammalia; Rodentia; Sciuridae.